Long non-coding RNA from Gopherus flavomarginatus (Mexican gopher tortoise), 817 nucleotides. RefSeq lists it as uncharacterized. Lineage: Eukaryota; Metazoa; Chordata; Testudines; Testudinidae. The record is from RefSeq and is a predicted model, not a curated record. The transcript has 4 exons.
CCCGCCAGCUACACAGGGGCCUGCGAGGGGGAGAGGCGCUGAGGGGUUCCAGCCAAGGGAUGGGCGGAGGAGGGAAUAAGAUGGACAGGCAGAUGAGGGGCUGUAGUCAGGGGCCAGGUGGUGGUGGAAGAGCCAGGAGGGGGACAGAUGCUGGGGGGUUGUAGCCAGGGGACAGGCAGAGGUGGGAGUUGUAGCCAGGAGGUGGGAGGGACAGGCGGAGGCGGGGAUUGUAGCCAGGGGACAGGCAGAGACGGAAGUUGUAGCCAGGGGACAGGCGGAGGCAGGAGACAUGUGGAGUUGGGGUUGUGGCCAGGGGACAGGUGGAGGUGGGGGUUGUAGCCAGGGGACAGGCGGAGGCGGGGGACAGGCGGAGGCAGGGGACAGGCGGAGGCAGUGGUUGUAGCCAGGGGACAGGCGGAGGCAGGGGACAGGCGGAGGCGGUGGUUGUAGCCAGGGGACAGGCGGUGGUGGGGGUUGUAGCCAGGGGACAGGCGGAGGCGGUGGUUGUAGCCAGGGGACAGGCGGAGGCAGGGGACAGGCGGCGGUGGGGGUUGUGGCCAGGGGACAGGCGGAGGCAGGGGACAGGCGGCGGCGGUGGUUGUAGCCAGGGGACAGGCGGAGGCAGGGGACAGGCGGAGGUGGGGGUUGUGGCCAGGGGACAGGCGGAGGCAGGGGACAGGCGGAGGUGGGGGUUGUGGCCAGGGGACAGGCGGAGCAGGGGACAGGCGGCGGUGGGGGUUGUGGCCAGGGGACAGGCGGAGGCAGGGGACAGGCGGAGGCAGGGGACAGGCGGCGGUUGGGGUUGUAGUCAGGGGAC